RNAcentral lists this ribosomal RNA (514 nucleotides) under bacterium fme09x28p139. Its description in RNAcentral is "bacterial SSU rRNA". It matches the Rfam family "Bacterial small subunit ribosomal RNA", at positions 48 to 556 of the family's 1533-position model. The record is from RNAcentral.
GCUACACAUGCAGUCGAGCGGUAACAGGAGAAGCUUGCUUCUCGCUGACGAGCGGCGGACGGGUGAGUAAUACUUAGGAAUCUACCUAGUAGUGGGGGAUAGCACGGGGAAACUCGUAUUAAUACCGCAUACGACCUACGGGAGAAAGGGGGCAGUUUACUGCUCUCGCUAUUAGAUGAGCCUAAGUCGGAUUAGCUAGAUGGUGGGGUAAAGGCCUACCAUGGCGACGAUCUGUAGCUGGUCUGAGAGGAUGAUCAGCCACACCGGGACUGAGACACGGCCCGGACUCCUACGGGAGGCAGCAGUGGGGAAUAUUGGACAAUGGGGGAAACCCUGAUCCAGCCAUGCCGCGUGUGUGAAGAAGGCCUUUUGGUUGUAAAGCACUUUAAGCAGUGAAGAAGACUCCAUGGUUAAUACCCAUGGACGAUGACAUUAGCUGCAGAAUAAGCACCGGCUAACUCUGUGCCNGCAGCCGCGGUAAUACAGAGGGUGCAAGCGUUAAUCGGAAUUACUG